Molecule: non-coding RNA, 181 nt
Filed under: Clostridia bacterium
Lineage: Bacteria; Bacillati; Bacillota; Clostridia
Description: 6S RNA
Rfam family: 6S / SsrS RNA
About the family: E. coli 6S RNA was the first non coding RNA to be sequenced, but its function was unknown until recently. It consists of 184 nucleotides that fold into an extended hairpin structure with a large single-stranded internal bulge. The 6S RNA specifically associates with RNA polymerase holoenzyme containing the sigma70 specificity factor.
Source: RNAcentral
ACAGGUCUGCGGUGUGCGUGGUAUGGAAAAUUCGUAAUCCACAAAGUAAUUUACGGGAGUGCUUGUUCGCGGAAAUAGUCAAGGUCUGAUUUUAUCGGAAAGUACGAUGUUCCGCUUCGGCGCACCCACCUGCGAGAAGCGGGUUAAUACUUUUUCAUAACACGGCACAGGCGGAUUUGUU